This 1344-nucleotide ribosomal RNA is filed under the name uncultured bacterium. RNAcentral's name for it is "16S ribosomal RNA". It matches the Rfam family "Bacterial small subunit ribosomal RNA", at positions 28 to 1378 of the family's 1533-position model. The record is from RNAcentral.
GACGAACGUUGGCGGCGUGCUUAACACAUGCAAGUCGAACGGAAAGGCCCUGCUUUUGUGGGGUGCUCGAGUGGCGAACGGGUGAGUAACACGUGAGUAACCUGCCCUUGACUUUGGGAUAACUUCAGGAAACUGGGGCUAAUACCGGAUAGGAGCUCCUGCUGCAUGGUGGGGGUUGGAAAGUUUCGGCGGUUGGGGAUGGACUCGCGGCUUAUCAGCUUGUUGGUGGGGUAGUGGCUUACCAAGGCUUUGACGGGUAGCCGGCCUGAGAGGGUGACCGGCCACAUUGGGACUGAGAUACGGCCCAGACUCCUACGGGAGGCAGCAGUGGGGAAUAUUGCACAAUGGGCGGAAGCCUGAUGCAACAACGCCGCGUGCGGGAUGACGGCCUUCGGGUUGUAAACCGCUUUCGCCUGUGACGAAGCGUGAGUGACGGUAAUGGGUAAAGAAGCACCGGCUAACUACGUGCCAGCAGCCGCGGUGAUACGUAGGGUGCGAGCGUUGUCCGGAUUUAUUGGGCGUAAAGGGCUCGUAGGUGGUUGAUCGCGUCGGAAGUGUAAUCUUGGGGCUUAAACCCUGAGCGUGCUUUCGAUACGGGUUGACUUGAGGAAGGUAGGGGAGAAUGGAAUUCCUGGUGGAGCGGUGGAAUGCGCAGAUAUCAGGAGGAACACCAGUGGCGAAGGCGGUUCUCUGGGCCUUUCCUGACGCUGAGGAGCGAAAGCGUGGGGAGCGAACAGGCUUAGAUACCCUGGUAGUCCACGCUGUAAACGGUGGGUACUAGGUGUGGGGUCCAUUCCACGGGUUCCGUGCCGUAGCUAACGCUUUAAGUACCCCGCCUGGGGAGUACGGCCGCAAGGCUAAAACUCAAAGGAAUUGACGGGGCCCCGCACAAGCGGCGGAGCAUGCGGAUUAAUUCGAUGCAACGCGUAGAACCUUACCUGGGUUUGACAUGGAUCGGGAGUGCUCAGAGAUGGGUGUGCCUCUUUUGGGGUCGGUUCACAGGUGGUGCAUGGCUGUCGUCAGCUCGUGUCGUGAGAUGUUGGGUUAAGUCCCGCAACGAGCGCAACCCUUGUUCACUGUUGCCAGCACGUUAUGGUGGGGACUCAGUGGAGACCGCCGGGGUCAACUCGGAGGAAGGUGGGGAUGACGUCAAGUCAUCAUGCCCCUUAUGUCCAGGGCUUCACGCAUGCUACAAUGGCUGGUACAGAGAGUGGCGAGCCUGUGAGGGUGAGCGAAUCUCGGAAAGCCGGUCUCAGUUCGGAUUGGGGUCUGCAACUCGACCUCAUGAAGUCGGAGUCGCUAGUAAUCGCAGAUCAGCAACGCUGCGGUGAAUACGUUCCCGGG